GAUGAACGCUAGCGGGAGGCUUAACACAUGCAAGUCGAGGGGCAGCACGUCUUCGGAUGGUGGCGACCGGCGUACGGGUGCGUAACGCGUAUGCAACCUGCCCUGUGCAGGGGGAUAGCUUUCGGAAACGGAAAUUAAUACCCCAUAUAUCUGUAACAUCGCCUGAUGUAACAGGGAAAGAUUUAUCGGCACAGGAUGGGCAUGCGUCCGAUUAGUUAGAUGGUGAGGUAACGGCUCACCAUGGCUACGAUCGGUAGGGGUCCUGAGAGGGUUAUCCCCCACACUGGUACUGAGACACGGACCAGACUCCUACGGGAGGCAGCAGUGAGGAAUAUUGGUCAAUGGUCGAGAGACUGAACCAGCCAUCCCGCGUGAGGGACGAAGGCCUUAUGGGUCUUAAACCUCUUUUGUAAGGGAAGACAAGAAGCUACGCGUAGUUUAUACAGACAGUACCUUACGAAUAAGCACCGGCUAACUCCGUGCCAGCAGCCGCGGUAAUACGGAGGGUGCAAGCGUUAUCCGGAUUUAUUGGGUUUAAAGGGUGCGCAGGUUGCUGUUUAAGUCAGUGGUGAAAGUCUGCCGCUUAACGGUAGGAUUGCCAAUGAUACUGAAUGGCUUGAGUUUGGGCGAGGCAUGUGGAAUGUGCAGUGUAGCGGUGAAAUGCAUAGAUAUUGCACAGAACUCCGAUUGCGAAGGCAGCAUGCUAGUCCACAACUGACGCUGAGGCACGAAAGCGUGGGGAUCAAACAGGAUUAGAUACCCUGGUAGUCCACGCCGUAAACGAUGAUCACUCGCUGUUUGCAAUAUAAUGUGAGCGGCUAAGCGAAAGCAUUAAGUGAUCCACCUGGGGAGUACGAUCGCAAGGUUGAAACUCAAAGGAAUUGACGGGGGCCCGCACAAGCGGAGGAACAUGUGGUUUAAUUCGAUGAUACGCGAGGAACCUUACCUGGGCUUAAAUGGAGAGUGACUACUGUCGAAAGAUGGUUUUCUACGGACACUUUUCAAGGUGCUGCAUGGUUGUCGUCAGCUCGUGCCGUGAGGUGUCGGGUUAAGUCCCAUAACGAGCGCAACCCCUUCCGUUAGUUGCCAUCAGGUCAAGCUGGGGACUCUAGCGGGACUGCCACCGUAAGGUGAGAGGAAGGUGGGGAUGACGUCAAAUCAGCACGGCCCUUAUGUCCAGGGCUACACACGUGUUACAAUGGCCGGUACAGAGGGCAGCCACCUGGUGACAGGGCGCUAAUCCCGAAAGCCGGUCUCAGUUCGGAUCGAAGUCUGCAACCCGACUUCGUGAAGUUGGAUUCGCUAGUAAUCGCGCAUCAGCCAUGGCGCGGUGAAUACGUUCCCGGGCCUUGUACACACCGCCCGUCAAGCCAUGGGAGCCGGGGGUGCCUGAAGUCUGCAACCGCAAGGAGCGGCCUAGGGUAAAACUGGUAACUGGGGCU
Molecule: ribosomal RNA, 1442 nt
Filed under: uncultured Bacteroidota bacterium
Lineage: Bacteria; Pseudomonadati; Bacteroidota
Description: bacterial SSU rRNA
Rfam family: Bacterial small subunit ribosomal RNA
Source: RNAcentral